This 292-nucleotide ribosomal RNA is filed under the name uncultured bacterium. RNAcentral describes it as "partial 16S ribosomal RNA". It matches the Rfam family "Bacterial small subunit ribosomal RNA", at positions 505 to 796 of the family's 1533-position model. The record is from RNAcentral.
GUGCCAGCAGCCGCGGUAACACGGGGGGAGCAAGCGUUGUUCGGAUUCAUUGGGCGUAAAGGGCUCGUAGGCCGCUCUGUAAGUCGGGAGUGAAAGACCACGGCUCAACCGUGGAAACGCUUUCGAAACUGUGGAGCUUGAGGCCGGGAGAGGAGAUUGGAAUUCCUGGUGUAGCGGUGAAAUGCGUAGAUAUCAGGAGGAACACCCGUGGCGAAGGCGAAUCUCUGGACCGGUUCUGACGCUGAUGAGCGAAAGCUAGGGGAGCAAACAGGAUUAGAUACCCUGGUAGUCC